RNAcentral lists this ribosomal RNA (1113 nucleotides) under Botryosphaeria dothidea. RNAcentral's name for it is "eukaryotic LSU rRNA". The stretch from base 446 to 1113 matches the Rfam family "Eukaryotic large subunit ribosomal RNA", at positions 1 to 648 of the family's 3401-position model. Lineage: Eukaryota; Fungi; Ascomycota; Dothideomycetes; Botryosphaeriales; Botryosphaeriaceae. The record is from RNAcentral.
CCUCUGUUGCUUCGGCGCCGCGCGGCCCUCCGUGGCCGACCCCCUCCCCGGCGGGGCGGCCAGCGCCCGCCAAAGGACCAUCGAACUCCAGUGGCCUACGAUGCCUUGUGAAUAACAUUUAAUAUCUGAAACUUUCAACAACGGAUCUCUUGGUUCUGGCAUCGAUCACUAGGUUCUGGAAAUGCGAUAAGUAAUGUGAAUUGCAGAAUUCAGUGAAUCAUCGAAUCUUUGAACGCACAUUGCGCCCUUUGGUAUUCCGAAGGGCAUGCCUGUUCGAGCGUCAUUACAACCCUCAAGCUCUGCUUGGUAUUGGGCACCGUCCUUUGCGGUUGCGCCUCUAAGACCUCGGCGGUGGCGUCUUGCCUCCUGCGUAUUAGAACAUACAUCUCGCUUCGGACCGCAGGGCGUCGCCCGCCGGACGAACCUUCUGAACUUUUCUCAAGGUUGACCUCGGAUCAGGUAGGGAUACCCGCUGAACUUAAGCAUAUCAAUAAGCGGAGGAAAAGAAACCAAUAGGGAUUGCCUUAGGACGGCGAGUGAAGCGGCUUGCCCUCAAAUUUGAAAACUGGCUCCUUUGGAGUCCGCGUUGUAAUUCUGGCAGGAUGAUUCAUUGUAGGGCUCCCGCCUAUGCUCUCCUGGAGGUGACCGUCAUAGUUCCGUGAGAAUCCCAUAUGCAGAGGGCUGACAGCCCCGUGUGGAUCUCCUUCGACGAGUCGUAGAUGCUCCGUCAAUGCAGUCUCUAAGUGUGAGGAAUGCUGUCUCUCUAAUGGCUAAGUAACAUCGUCUUCAGACCGAUAGUGCCCGACCUAGAGAUGAUCGAGAGCAUGAGUAGCACUGAUCGAAAGAUAGAUAAACACCUUCGAAAAGGUGUGAAACAGUACGUGAUAGUGUCAAACGUGACCGCUUGUGAUCAGACUUGCGCUGACAGUGCACCUUCGUGCUGCCCAUGUCGACAUCAGCCGGGUCAGGCGAUAAACGACUUCAGUGAUGAGACUACAUCUGUGGAAACGUGUAGCCCUCGCUGGGAAGUCGUCAGCCGGAACUGAGAAUCUGCUCAGGACUACGAGGCUGCGCAUCGCAUGUACGUCGCACUGGAGACUGGACACGAGCUAA